AUGGGUCGUUCCUUCUGUGCUGGAGGCUAUCGAUGGGCUCUCAAGUUGUGUCCCAAUGGUGAUCGCAUGGAGACUGCUGGUUUUAUCUCUGUUUUUCUUGUCCUUCACGAGGAUGUUGCGCUGCCCCUAAAUGCGCAUUGGCAGUUUAGCUUCGUCGAUCAGGUUGACGGGCACGAGCUUGCAUGCAUCCGCGCAACCAACAUAGGUGAUUUCUCUAAAAGUGGUCAUGGCUGGGGUCACUAUCGUUUCAUCAAAAGAGAGGACCUCGAAAAGUCGGAGCAUCUCAAGAAUGAUUGUUUCACCAUCCGGUGCGACUUUAUCAUCACCCAAGCCGUUGAUACUUUCAUCGAGGUGCCGUCAUCCAACAUAUGCGACCAUCUGAACCAUCUUUUAGUGACGAAGCUCGGUGCCGAUGUGAAGUUCGAGGUUGGCAGCGAGACGUUCGACGCGCACCGGUGCGUGCUCGCGGCCCGUUCUGCCGUCUUCAGGGCUGAACUCUUCGGCCCCAUGAAGGAGGGAACCACGGCUGAUGCCAUACAAAUACAAGAUAUUGAACCCAAUGUAUUCAAGGCUUUGCUAGGUUUCAUCUACACCGACUCAAUGCCGAAGAUGGAUAUGGGAGGAGUAGCAGGAGAAGCCGGAGCUGAUGUUCUGUGGAUGGAACAAUUGCUUGUGGCGGCAGACAAGUAUGAUCUCCAACGACUAAAGUCGAUGUGUGAAGACAGGCUGUUGAAACACAUAAAUUUGAGCUCGGUGUCGGCCAUCCUUGGUGUAGCUGCGCAACACCAUUGCCACGAACUGAAAGAGGCCUGCCUGGAGUUACUCAAACUCCAGUCGGCUGACGGCUUACGAGAUGUCAUGGCGACCAGUGACUGGCAGCACAUAUCUACGACCGAUCCCUCCGUUCUGAACGAGCUGAUUACCAAGCUUGCCUUGAAAGCUAAUCCGUAG
This 951-nucleotide ribosomal RNA is filed under the name Triticum aestivum (bread wheat). Its description in RNAcentral is "partial small subunit ribosomal RNA". The record is from RNAcentral. Lineage: Eukaryota; Viridiplantae; Streptophyta; Magnoliopsida; Poales; Poaceae.